AACAGUAAAGGGAAGAGAAAAAGC
Molecule: small RNA, 24 nt
Filed under: Arabidopsis thaliana (thale cress)
Lineage: Eukaryota; Viridiplantae; Streptophyta; Magnoliopsida; Brassicales; Brassicaceae
Description: ATSL042550
Source: RNAcentral